UAAAAACAGACACGCUCACAUCCCAAGUGA
This 30-nucleotide non-coding RNA is filed under the name Mus musculus (house mouse). Lineage: Eukaryota; Metazoa; Chordata; Mammalia; Rodentia; Muridae. The record is from RNAcentral.